Long non-coding RNA from Fukomys damarensis (Damara mole-rat), 2020 nucleotides. RefSeq lists it as uncharacterized. The record is from RefSeq and is a predicted model, not a curated record. NCBI's taxonomy places the organism in Eukaryota, Metazoa, Chordata, Mammalia, Rodentia, Bathyergidae. The transcript has 5 exons.
CAGGGGCGGAGUCGUUGAGCGGCCGGGAGGCAGGAAGGGGAGCAUCCGGGCACUUGGCACCAAGAUACAAUGCAGCGCUCCGCUGGGUGCGCUUGGCAGGUCAUGGGGACUGAGAAGGGGCUUGAAGACGGUUCCAGGCCCGGGGUGGCUGACGCUACGUAGGAUGGGCUCCUCCCCUACUUACGCCUGUGGCUGUUCAGGGAGGAGCUGGGCUUGGGUGGGGCUUAGAUGAAAUCACUUCUUGCUGCGCCGCGCCCAGCUGAAGUUACCACCCCUUUCCUGGAGCAGAAAUUUCAUAUGUAAGGCGCCUGUUUUGGGGUGUCAGGCCCUUGAACCCUGAAGGAGACGGCGGGGCUUUACCCGAAGGUGGGGACAAGAAAUUGGGCUCUAGUCUAGCUUCUCGGAUUUCCAGGGGCCUCGGAGAACUUUUAAACGGCUGCCCCAGCUGCAUUUCUCGGGCCCUGUUUCGGAGCAGAAUUGAGUCCCGGCCUGGGAUCCAGGCUCUUCGCUCCGCCCCGCCCUGAGAAGGAUCGUGGCAGGCAGGCGCAGUCUGACCAGAAGCCCGCGGAGGAAAGAGGCUGUCAGCACGAGGGAUAGAACCAUUACGAGCCACCCAGGAGCUGCCUCGUGAGCCUCAUCCCAUCAAGCGCAUCCUACCUUUUCAAGUGGACCCCAAGUCAGGAUCUCAUCAACUUGCUAAAUUGCCCAGGCUGGGCUUGAACUUGCCACUGGUGGUGAAGGUUGGAACAGAAGGAGAUCCAAGAAACAAGAGAAGAUGGUGUAUCCUCAAGUGGAAAGCCCAGGGCAACAAGAACUCAUCCUAGAAGUGAACUCAGGGCUUUUCCUUCUCCUCCCAGGAGUGCUGCAUUUCCUCAGUCAGUGGAUUCUUGGUACUCAACCUCCGCAACACGGCGGAGAUCCGCUUUGCACUCUGCCGGAUCACAAAAACUGAGCUGCGAUACCUGACUCCCCCGACUCUUCCGUUCUUCGCUGCCCUUUAGGUUUCGCGGAGUAUCCAGCAGAGGGCGCUGCCGAGAUGCGGCUGCUGAGGGGCGCAGGUGCAGAGCGGGGCGGGGGAAGUGAAACAAACCUGACCAUGAGGGUAGUUUUACAGUCGCCCCAGAGCUUUCCCGUUGUGGGGUGGCUUCGGGGCCUGGAGAAAUACAGAGGCUUCCAAGACCAGCUGAGAGUCCCUGGGGUUUGGAGAGCAUUUGAACAAGAUUUCUGGGUGGCAUUCCCCAAAGAUUCUAGGUCAGCAGGAACUGGGCGGGCCCGGGGGCCUUUUAAAAGAUGUUCCCCACUGACUCUGAUGGUCGGGAGGCUCAGGACCCUGUGGUGGGGAUUCCCGAGGGCGACACCCGGUGCCCAGCCCCGUUGCUCUUUCGCCCGCUGUGACCUCUCUGUGUGUCCGUGCACCCCCACCAGGACGGAGUUAAUAGAGCGGAAGCUGUGGUGGCAGCCUCCCAUGGUUUCCGCGUAAAGCUGCUGGCCCGUGUUCAAAGCUGGUCGGGCCCUGCGCGGUCGAGGGCAGAGGAAGAUUUCUGGGCCGUGCGUCGGUAUCCAUCCGCUGUGGAGGAGAACUCCGGCCCCUCUAGUGCAGCUGCCUCUGCCUCUCUUCAGUUCCUCACCUUUUCCUGUAGGGGGCAGGGAUGCAGGUGAUUCCGGACUCGGAAGAGGCAGAGGACCUGUCACUGAAGCAGGUCAGUAGGCACCAACCCAGUUGUGAGAAAGGAUUAGUAUAUCAGAGAAGGGUAUGGCUACAGGCUAAGUUGCUGGGGAAAGUGUUCGCGCAUAUAGAUGGAAAGAAAGAGAGUACUUUGGAAAAUGAAAGCCCACUUGGGAGGGCUGUAGUUAGAAAGGGAGAGGCAGUGAGAGAUGAAGAUGGCAUGUAUCAGGUCAUAUAAGACAUUGUAAGCUGUGUGAAGAGUUUCUGUAUUUUAAGCAGUGUGGGCAGAUAUUGAUUUCUUUUUUUUCUGUGUAAAGCAGGGUCUUGCUGUGUAGUUCAGGCUAGGCUUGAACU